UACGUAGGGGGCAAGCGUUGUCCGGAUUUAUUGGGCGUAAAGAGCGUGUAGGCGGCCACACAGGUCUGCUGUGAAAACUCGAGGCUCAACCUCGAGCUGUCGGUGGAAACCGUGUGGCUAGAGUCCGGAAGAGGAGAGUGGAAUUCCCGGUGUAGCGGUGAAAUGCGCAGAUAUCGGGAAGAACACCGGUGGCGAAGGCGGUUCUCUGGGCCUUACCUGACGCUGAGGAGCGAAAGCGUGGGGAGCGAACAGG
This 253-nucleotide ribosomal RNA is filed under the name uncultured bacterium. RNAcentral describes it as "partial 16S ribosomal RNA". It matches the Rfam family "Bacterial small subunit ribosomal RNA", at positions 524 to 776 of the family's 1533-position model. The record is from RNAcentral.